This 63-nucleotide transfer RNA is filed under the name Camelus bactrianus (Bactrian camel). It matches the Rfam family "tRNA". From Rfam's summary of the family: Transfer RNA (tRNA) molecules are approximately 80 nucleotides in length. Their secondary structure includes four short double-helical elements and three loops (D, anti-codon, and T loops). Further hydrogen bonds mediate the characteristic L-shaped molecular structure. tRNAs have two regions of fundamental functional importance: the anti-codon, which is responsible for specific mRNA codon recognition, and the 3' end, to which the tRNAs corresponding amino acid is attached (by aminoacyl-tRNA synthetases). tRNAs cope with the degeneracy of the genetic code in two manners: having more than one tRNA (with a specific anti-codon) for a particular amino acid; and 'wobble' base-pairing, i.e. permitting non-standard base-pairing at the 3rd anti-codon position. Lineage: Eukaryota; Metazoa; Chordata; Mammalia; Artiodactyla; Camelidae. RNAcentral also lists the same sequence under 3 other names. The record is from Rfam by way of RNAcentral.
GUGGGUAUAGCUCAGUGGUAGAGCGCAUACUUGAGCUCCUGGGUUCGAUCCCCAGUGUCUCCA